Molecule: small RNA, 49 nt
Filed under: Arabidopsis thaliana (thale cress)
Lineage: Eukaryota; Viridiplantae; Streptophyta; Magnoliopsida; Brassicales; Brassicaceae
Description: ATSL272510
Source: RNAcentral
AUCCACUUAAUGGGGUUGUCCGAAAACUUUGAAUUUAUUUUUUGAAUUA